GGGGCUGAAUUGGUGAAGUUUAAAAAUCAGAAUCUUUUUAAAAUCUUUUUCGCAAUCUUUAAACCUUUACAAAAUUUAUUGAAUCACAAGAAAUGAAAAGUUUAAGUGCAGCAAAAAUUACAAAAUUGACUACGUAAAGAAUAAAAUCGACUUAACGUAAAAUUGUAAGGAUAGAGAAAUCAAACACAAAUUUUAGUUUAAAAAAUACUUUUGAUAAAAUUCCAAAAUAUAAAUAUAAUGAUAUUAAAUAAUUACAUAAAAUUAAAUUAGUUCAUAUUAUGAUGUUAAUCAAUGGUAUUAUUUGAAUCACAUUAAAUUCAUGCUAAUAAAUAUUUCAUAAAAGCAUCUCCAUCGCCAAACCAGAAGAGCACUAAACUUAGAUGUAACUCAAAAGGAUGUUUGAAAGCAAAUAAAGGUGAGACAAAAAUCCAAAAUAAUCGAAAGAUUGAUCUCCACUUCUUUACCAACUAAACAUUUGCUUCAACUCUUCAAUUGACCUCGUUUUUUAAUUAUCAAAUACAACCACUAUAGCCGCUCCCAUUUUUAAACUAUAGUUUUACAUUAUUAUAAACAAAACCAUGAAAUUGUUCCUUUCAAGAAUUAUUUGCAUUUUUUCCCCAAAUUUCACGCCAUUGACAACCAAAUAGGUGCGAACACUGCGACUUUUUGACAUGUUACGCCACUUUUGCCCUUUUCGUCUACUCUCUUUCUCUUUCAGUCUGUCAAACUUGCUUUUGCUCCAUCCCCACCUUC
This 753-nucleotide long non-coding RNA is filed under the name Vigna radiata. RNAcentral's name for it is "long non-coding RNA (VRAD_LNC011075)". Lineage: Eukaryota; Viridiplantae; Streptophyta; Magnoliopsida; Fabales; Fabaceae. The record is from RNAcentral.